AGGAGAGAAAAUUGUCCCAUUCCAGGAUGUGCACGAGUCCCUGAGAUGGACUGCCAGAAACCUACAAUAAUUGAAGAAACAGAACUGUGGACACCUGCAGUAACCAAAGAAAUGGGCCUGUGGACUGGCCAAGAGAAGGCCUUAGGCGUGCACUAGUGAAACCAUCAGUUCUCCAAGUGAAACUAUGGGCUGAACCACUAGAACCCAAAGUUGAAUGAGCAAGCUGGAGACCCAGUUCAAGUCUGCAGGCAGGAAAAAGCCAGUGUCCCAGUUUGAAGAUGGCUAGGCAGGAGGAAUUCUCUCUUCCUCAAAGGUCAGUCUUUUUGUCCUAUUCAGGCCUUCAACUGAUUGGAUGAAGGUCAUCCAGGUUAGGGAAGGCAAUCUGCUUUACUCAAUAUUUUGAUUUAAAUGUUAGUAUCAUCUAAAAACACCCUUACAGAAACGCCCAGAAUAAUGUUUGUCCAAAUAUCUGGGCACCCCAUGACACUUAAAAUUAACUAUCACAAAGACUUAAUGUACUGAGUUGAUUUCACAGCUCGGUAAUGAUAUGCACUUUUUAAACUAGUUUUAUAAUUUGUAAACUGGUUAGUGGGAUUGUAUCAUUAUAACGUGUCUGUAUUUGAAUAUGGUUUUGCCAUUUAUACUCUCAGUUCAUGGUAAAGAUUAGUUUAAUAGAAAUUCCCGUGUCCUUUUCUCCAUGCUCCAGCUAAGUACAUUUUCUAACAUGAACUUACUUCUCCUUUCCUGGCAUGUCUAUCUCCUUUUACAUAUAUCCUGAUUACUCCUUUCCUGGUGUGUCUGUCUCCUUUUAUGUGUAUCUUAAUUACUUUAUCUUGGGCCUGUUAAGGAAAGGAAGUGCUAUCACCUUUGAAGGACAUUAUCUCAAGUAUCAUCAUGAUCUCCCCCUCAAUGAAAGCCUUGUUACAGAUGUGGCUACAGGGUAAUUUAUGCUUAAAAUAUUAAAAAUUAAUAUUUAAUAUUAAAUAUUAAAAAUAUCUCACAAAUAACACAGUGCAUGGUUUAACAGCAAAUUAGAUAAAACUGUAAAUUGGACUAGAAGAGAAUAUUUAGAAUAAAGAUUGGAUAAAUGAAAUGAUAAAAAAAAAUGGAGACCAAAAGAAAUAAACUUUGCAAGGUAAAGUUUAUUUGUACUUACUUAAAAUUUUAGAUGAAUGGGACUGGGGAAAUGGGGCUGAGAAAAUAUUCCGAAAGAUAAUAGCUUAGAAGACCUCUGAACUGCAAACGAGAAAAAUAAAAAACUGUCUAGCUACAUCAUAGGAGAAUUGUUGAGAAGUAAAAUAUAUAGAGAGAGGUAGAUAAACAAUAAAAUGUAUAAUCUUGGAGUUCCUAGUGUGGCUCAGCGGGUUAUGACCUGACCAGUAUCCAUAAAGAUGCUGUUUUGAUCCCUGGCCUUGCUAAAAGGGUUAAGGAUCUACUGUUGCUGUGAGCUGUGGUAUAGGUCAGAGAUGGGGCUCAUCUGGUGUUGCUGUGGCUGUGGCAUAGGCCGGCAGUUGCAGCUCUGAUUUGACUCCUAUCCUGGGAACUUCCAUAGGCCUGGAGUGUGGCCCUCAAAAGCAAAAGCAAACAAACAAAAGAUACACCUUAACCUUUUAAAAAACUGAUAAUGAAGAAAAAGCUGCUGAAAGAGGUUAGAAAACCCUGUAUAUUAUUGAUAGGAAACAGCAAUACAAAUGACAAAAGAUUUCUCACCUGAAAUCUUGGAGGCUAGGAGUAUAUGGCAAGAAAUUGUUCAAGUGAUUAAAAUACAUAAUUGUCAACAGCAAAUUCUAUAUAGAUUGAAAACAUGCUUUGGGAAUGAAGGGGAAAUAUUUUCUGUGAUAAAGGAAAACUGAGAAUUUAUUGCAGAUGACCUUCUUCAAACAAUUGCUGGAAUUGCUGUGGUGGCUCAGUGGGUUAAGGACCCAUUGUUGUCUUUGUGAGCAUAUGAGUUCAAUCCUUGGCCUCAUUCAGUGGGUUAAGGAUCUGGCAUUGCCAAAACCUGCUUCGUGGGUUGCAGAUGUAGCCCAUAUCCGGUGUUGUCAUGGCUGUGUCAUAGACACCAGCUGCAGCUCUGAUUCGACCCCUGGCCUGGGACUUUCAUAUGCCACAGGUGCAGCUGUAAAAAGAAAACAAACAAACAAAUAAAUAAAACAGUAAAAGAGCAAACCUGGCGGUUUAAAAAACAAAAACAGUUUCCUUUGUGGCACAGCAGAAACAAGCUGACUAGUAUCCUUGAGGAUGCGGGUUCAGCCCCUGGCCUCACGCAGUGGGUCAGUGAUCUAGUGUUGCCGUGAGCUAUGGUGUAGGUCGAAGACAUGGCUCAGAUCCCGAGUUGCUGCGGCUCUGGCGUAGUCUGGCAGCUGUAGCUCUGAUUUGACCCAUAGCCUGGGAACUUCCACAUGCCAUGGGUGCAGCCCUAAAAAUAAAUGAAUGAAUAAAUUAAAUAAAUAAAUAAAUAAACCAAAACUAAUUGCUAUAGGAGAGUUUUCAAGGAAAUGAUAACAGAAGGAGUCUUGGAAAUUCAGGAAAGAAAGAAGGAAAUGGUUUAAAAAAGUAUAAUAGACUGUUGUAAAUUUCUUAAAUUGUAUUUCAGGAGUUCCCUGGUGGCCUACAAGUUAAAGGAUCUGGCAUUGUCACUGCUGUAACACAGCUCUGAUCCCGGGCUCAGGAAUUUUUGUAUGCCAUGGGCACAGACAAAAAAAAAAAAAAAA
This 2711-nucleotide long non-coding RNA is filed under the name Sus scrofa (pig). Its description in RNAcentral is "lncRNA (ENSSSCG00060066685.1)". Lineage: Eukaryota; Metazoa; Chordata; Mammalia; Artiodactyla; Suidae. The record is from RNAcentral.